Amphiprion ocellaris (clown anemonefish) is the source of this 848-nucleotide long non-coding RNA. The record is from Ensembl. NCBI's taxonomy places the organism in Eukaryota, Metazoa, Chordata, Actinopteri, Pomacentridae.
CUCUCAUUCUGCCAGCAGAGUGACUGCAACAGCACCAAAGCCACUACAGUACACCGUCAUUGUAAAACAGAUAGGUUAAAUGUGACAACAUCCUCUGAAAACCUCAAAGAAACAAACCAAUAAGCAACAGGCACACGGCCCGAGACCCCUACAGCAUCUCAAUAUUCACUUCCUGCGUGGAAACUAUUUCAGUUCUGUGUGUAGGCACUCUGGUCAGGUUUAAUCUAACCAGUGUGUAAGUUGUACAGGCUGCCGGUUAUAAAUACUGACAUUCUUACAGUUUUAUUUUUGGAACGCAGAACAAGAUAACAAGACUGAAGAGCUGUAGAUUGUCACUAUUGGUAAAGCAGCUUGGGAAACCAUUUCAGAGAAUGUUGGCAGCAGAGUAACCCUGCAAUGUAGCAACGAGUCAAUCAGCACGCUCAACCAGUUGACGUGGAAGAUGAAUGGAGUUACCAUGUUCACUUUCAACCCUCUGGGAAACUUCUACGUCAGUCCACAAGCUACCAACCUGACCUUGAAAAUGUCUGAAUCACAGAGUCAGCUGUAUGCGCUCAUCAUAGAGAACGCUCAGCUCUAUCACACGGGAAACUACACUUGUGAAGUUACUUCCAUGAAGGACGGAGUCUUGGAUCAGAACUGGAGGCUGAUAAUUAAAGAAAGCACAGAAAUCUGGGACAUUCUGAUGAUAGCUACUGUUUCUUCUGUGUGUCUCCUGAUCUUUUUAAUUGGUUUGGUCAUUCUAAUAAGAUGCAACAAACGGCAUACAAGAAAUAGCAGGCCGUCUACCUCAGCAGAAGCGCAGCAGCCAACAGAAGAUAUUUAUGAAAACUGCCUGGAAAUUGAAC